GAUGAACGCUGGCGGCGUGCCUAAUACAUGCAAGUCGAGCGAACAGAUGCGGCUCUUGCUCCUCUGACGUUAGCGGCGGACGGGUGAGUAACACGUGUAUACCCUACCUAUAAGACUGGUAUAACUUCGGGAAACCGGAGCUAAUACCGGAUAAUAUCUUGAACCGCAGGGUGCAAUGGUGAAAGUCGGUUUUGCUGUCACUUAUAGAUGGAUCCGGGCUGCAUGAGCUAGUUGGUAAGUUAACGGCCUACCAAGGCAACGAUGCGUAGACGACCUGAGAGGGUGAUCGGCCACACUGGAGCGGGGACACGGUCCAGACGACUACGGGAGGGAGCAGUAGGGAACCUGCCGCAAUGGGCGAAAGCCUGACGGAGCAGGGCCGCGCGAGUGACGAAGGUCUUCGGAGCGUAAAACUCUGUUAUUAGGGAAGAACAAAUGUGUAAGUAACUGUGCACGUCUUGACGGUACCUAAUCAGAAAGCAACGGCUAACUACGUG
RNAcentral lists this ribosomal RNA (497 nucleotides) under uncultured bacterium. RNAcentral describes it as "partial 16S ribosomal RNA". It matches the Rfam family "Bacterial small subunit ribosomal RNA", at positions 28 to 507 of the family's 1533-position model. The record is from RNAcentral.